AAGCUCAAAAGCUUCCUGCCAUGCCAAGAGGUCUCUGCUCCCUCAUUACUCCCUGGCACAGAUGAAAACUCAAGCUACAUCUACUAAUAAAUGUACUGAAGACCAAACAUACUCUAAAAAAGUCUACUUAAGUCAGCGACAGCUGCCUGCUCGGGAGGAAGGAGCAGAGACUUUGGGUUCGGACCCCUUGGAGUGAUCGACCCGCCACCCAUCAUCUGUCUCCUUCGGGAAGCCUCACAUCACGGUGUGAAAUAUUGGCGAACUCAGUGAUCCAUGCGAUGGUGAACAAACAGC
This 294-nucleotide long non-coding RNA is filed under the name Fukomys damarensis (Damara mole-rat). Its description in RNAcentral is "lncRNA (ENSFDAG00000032946.1)". The record is from RNAcentral. Lineage: Eukaryota; Metazoa; Chordata; Mammalia; Rodentia; Bathyergidae.